Ictalurus punctatus (channel catfish) is the source of this 1568-nucleotide long non-coding RNA. The record is from Ensembl. NCBI's taxonomy places the organism in Eukaryota, Metazoa, Chordata, Actinopteri, Siluriformes, Ictaluridae.
CCCGGGAAGAUCUGAGAGCCUCUCGCUCGGGCCCGGGAAGAUCUGUAGCAGUGUCAGAGUUAACAGCAAAGACACCGAGAAAAGAAUGAACAAAGAACGGAAACACAGACCUUUAGAAGAAUGUGCUUAAAAAAGGAUAACAGGAGAUUUUACAGCUCUAGACCGUGUGUGUGUGUGUGUGUGUGUGUGUGUGUGUGUGUGUGCACGAGCCCAGUCUGUCUCAAUGACUUAUCACUUGUUAUACGUUAGCAGAACUUCCAGCUGUGUUUCCAACCACAACAUGUAUACAUCACACCCCGAUAGAGAUAAUCCCCGCGUCUCACACACAUCAUCAUUAUUACUGCACUGAAACAAGUCCUCCGAAAGAAAGGAGAGAGAUCGAGACUGAAAGAAACAGAACACGUCUAGGGAAAGAAAGAAAAAAGGAAACGAGAGAGAGGGGGAGAGAAAACGAGGGUUAAGAAAGGGAGAGAGUCUGAAAGAGAGAGAGAGAGAGAGAUUGAUUUUCCUUCUGUUGGAAUGAGUUGGAUUUCUCUACGCAGUGUCCUCAGCUCCAAAAAUCUGAUCUUUGUCUAAGUCAUAACACACACACACACACACACACACACGCGCGCACUUAACAGCCCGUAAUCGUCAAAACACAGUUUCCUGCUUAGUAAUAACAACGAGAAAAGUUUUAAUCAAAUAAUACAUCAUACUUCCAUUAGACGUCCAGUUAAGAUGUUCAGCCAUCGUCACGUCUCGGCCCCUUCGCGUCAUCGGACGUGUGGCGCUGGGAAAGGACAUCGAUCAGGAAGCGGCGGAGAACCUGACCGGGACGGAGGGGAAAUAAGAACGGGAGCGGACGAACGAAAGACACAAAGUCGAUGAAGGAAAGGAAAAAAGACACGGUGAAGUAAUGAAAGAGAGCCUGAGCGAAAGAAGGAGAGAGAGAAUAUAUUAAGAAAGAGCGAUAGAAAGAGGUCAAUCUCGAGAGAAAAAGGAAGCGCGGCUUGGCACGGCGGAAAAGAAGGAAAGAUGGAGAAAGGGAAUACUGACCGUGGAAUAAAUGAGGAAAUAAACGGAAGGAAAAGAGAGAAGAGAAAGAACCGGAGUAAGGAGGAAAGAAAAAGAAAGAAUAAUGGGGAAAUAAAUGCAGAAAGAACGAAGCUUGACACGAAAAAGAAAACAAAGAAAGAGACAAUAAUUAUAAGAGUGAAUGAAAGAAACAAAGACAAUGAAUGAAAGUGUGUGUGUGUGUGUGUGUGUGUGUGUGUGUGAAAUACUCUGUCCUUCUGCUUCGUCUCUUAAUGUUUAUGGACCUGGUGUAGUUUCUUUGAACACGUUAUUGUGAUGAUGCAGAAAUCCAGUGAGCCCUGACACACGCUAAUGCCCCAGCAUCUGCCCCCCCCCCCUCCCCCUCCCCCACUCCCUGCGUCCCUUCUGCUGCCCAACAGCUGGCAUCUUUAUUUACCGCUCGCUCUGUUUACCCUGCAAACCGACAGGAGCACCUUCCAUUCAAAUCACUCCCUCCCCGAAUAAAAGGCCGUCGACGCUCGGCAAACAGAAGACAUAAUCACGUGUGUAAU